CCUACGGGGGGCUGCAGUCGAGAGGCUUCGGCAAUGGGCGCAAGCCUGACCGAGCGACGCCGCGUGCAGGAUGAAGGCCUUUGGGUCGUAAACUGCUUUCGACUGGGAAGAAUGCCUCGGUGGUGAACCGAGGAGAGACGGUACCAGGAGAAGAAGCCCCGGCUAACUUCGUGCCAGCAGCCGCGGUAAUACGAAGGGGGCAAGCGUUAUUCGGAUUUAUUGGGCGUAAAGGGCGCGUAGGUGGCUAGGCAAGUCCGGUGUGAAAACGCUACCGCUCAACGGAGCGAAUGCGCUGGAUACUGCUUAACUUGAGUACGGAAGAGGUUAGCGGAAUACGUGGUGUACCGGUGGAAUGGGUAGAGAUCACGUAGAACACCUGUGGCGAAGGCGGCUAACUGGUCCGGUACUGACACUGAUGCGCGAAAGCGUGGGGAGCAAACGGGCUUAGAUACCCGGGUAGUC
This 462-nucleotide ribosomal RNA is filed under the name uncultured bacterium. Its description in RNAcentral is "bacterial SSU rRNA". It matches the Rfam family "Bacterial small subunit ribosomal RNA", at positions 338 to 795 of the family's 1533-position model. The record is from RNAcentral.